RNAcentral lists this long non-coding RNA (687 nucleotides) under Mus musculus (house mouse). RNAcentral's name for it is "small nucleolar RNA host gene 14". Lineage: Eukaryota; Metazoa; Chordata; Mammalia; Rodentia; Muridae. The record is from RNAcentral.
AUUCUUCUAAGUAUCAAGAAAGGGAGCCCUUGCUUCCCUGGAAGACAUUUCAUCCCAGCAAUCCCUCUCCAGUUCCAUGUGACCAUUCCUACUCUGAGCCAGUUUUGGAAAGGAAGGGAAGACAUUCUUCCAAGUAUCAAGAAAGAGAGCCCUUGCUUCCCUGGAAGACAUUUCGUCCCAGCAAUCACUCUCCAGUUCCAUGUGACCAUUCCUACUCUGAGCCAGUUUUGGAAAGGAAGUCAUCUCACAUGCCACCUUGGAAGGCAGAGAAACACAGAUAAUCAGGGAAGACAUUCUUCCAAGUAUCAAGAAAGGGAGCCCUUGCUUCCAUGGAAGAUAUUUCCUCCCAACAAUCCCUCUCCAGUUCAAUGUGACCAUUCCUACUCUGAGCCAGUUUUGGAAAGGAAGUCAUCUCACAUGCCACCUUGGAAGGCAGAGAAACACAGAUAAUCAGGGAAGACAUUCUUCCAAGUAUCAAGAGAGGGAGCCCUUGCUUCCCUGGAAGACAUUUCGUCCCAGCAAUCACUCUCCAGUUCCAUGUGACCAUUCCUACUCUGAGCCAGUUUUGGAAAGGAAGUCAUCUCACAUGCCACCUUGGAAGGCAGAGAAACACAGAUAAUCAGGGAAGACAUUCUUCCAAGUAUCAAGAGAGGGAGCCCUUGCUUCCCUGGAAGACAUUUCGUCCCA